Alligator mississippiensis (American alligator) is the source of this 2040-nucleotide long non-coding RNA. RefSeq lists it as uncharacterized. The transcript has 3 exons. Lineage: Eukaryota; Metazoa; Chordata; Crocodylia; Alligatoridae. The record is from RefSeq and is a predicted model, not a curated record.
GCUUAGCCUAGCAGUUUUGGGGUCAUGCCCUUUGACUUCCUUAUAGCUUAAGCUGGGUAUGUGAUCUGCUCGCUUACACAUAAUGGCGAUUCAACUCCGUUCUGUUCCCCUUCAACUCAAGGAUCUCCAAAUCUUUGGAAAAGGUUUGGAGAGCUUUGGUGAUUCAGGCAGUCCCCGGUGGCUGCAGCAGGGACCUGCAGCCGACUCCGAGCUGGACGUUUAUCUCCACCCGUCAGCAGAGAGCCGAUAAUCCCGGCUCACUUCACCCAGACAGAUAAGCGCAUGUGAGGAUCCGCCAUCACUGCUGCCCUGCUUGCUGCCGACAACUCCUGCCUCCCUGAAAACUGCUGAGAAUUCUACCCUAAAGUCAUGUGAGAGGCAAGGAUCUUUGUGGGUAACGAAUUGGUCUGAACUGAUGAAGAAAGCUUUGCAUCCCAAAGUUUGUCUAAUUUUAUGUCAGCCGUGCAGUUGGUCCAAUAAAAGAUAGCACCCGCAAAGAUCCUGGCCUCUCGUGAUUCCUGGAUCAUCCACUCUACAACAUCACUCCAGUAGUCCCUAACUCAGAUGCUUAUCACUGCAAAACCUCCAGUCCCAACAAAACCUGAUUGGCUUUUCCGUAUAAUCAGAAAAUCCCUCCAUGGAGAUACCCCUGCCCCCAAAUUGUAUAUAUGGUGGCAAUGCUAAGUGUUACUGAACAGCAAACAGAGCACAAGAAGAAGAUACCGCAGGGUGAUUCAACUGCACCAGCACAUAACUGAGAAAGAGAUAGGAACCGCUACAAAACACAGUGAAACAGGGACAAAGUGUGGGCCUGGCAAGCUGGGUCCAGCAGCAUCCCUCCCCUGCUUCUCUUGAGUUAUGGUUGCUAAUAUGCAACCUUUAAUGAGUGGACAGGUCAGGAUCCAUGCCUGCUCUAACACUGUGGAAAAAACAAGCCAUGCUUUCUUUCCCAGGGUACCAAACUGCUUUUACUGCAAAAGGAAAAACAAAUUUCAAAGUCUGUCACAAUGGUUAAGCUUGUUGUAGUCCAGGGGGACUACAAGUAGCUGCCCGGCAAACUCUAAAUCAGUGAUUCUGUACCAGGCUGCCACAGCACCGUGGCUGCUGUGAGACCCUUUUCAGGCUGCUCUGCAGUAUCAGCAUUGUUAGGUGUGCAGGCACUGAUACGACGCACAAGAUAGAAAGCUUUGGUGACCCUUUGUUCCUAUGGGUUUGCUGUUUGUUUGCCUGUCUCUCCUAGCAAUGAUCCACUCCCUGUUCUCUCCCCUCUCUUCCCCCCCCUUGUCUAAUGCAUAUCCUUUCACAGCAUCUGAAGUAAGUUGAAAUUCACAAAAUCGUCUAUCUAUCUAUCUAUCUAUCUAUCUAUCUAUCUAUCUAUCUAUCUAUCUAUCUAUCUAUCUAUCUAUCCACUUUGGUUAAUCUAUAAGUGCAAACCGAUCCUGCCUUCUACUUGACUUCAGACUAAUGCUGUUAACUACAUCUUACAUAGUAAACCCAGAGAUUUCCAAUAGGGAUCAUUGUCAUACCAUCCUUCCCUGCCAUGGGCUUGCUAAAUUCUUUGCAACAGGAGAAUUGUUCUAGCAUUUUUCCGUAGUCAAAAAAAGAGUGAAAGCAAAGAGCUGGUGUUUGCUGAGGGGGGCCUUGAAUCUAUCAAGAGGGACCUGGAGUCUAAAAAGGUUGAAAACCACUGCUCUAAAUUCUCAUGGUCACUACUAUAAUCCCCUAAAGUGGUUACCCAGUGCUUCCCUUACAAGCAGCUAUGGGCGGGGAGGAUACACUUUGCAAAACAUCACUGCCAAAACAGACACUCCAACCUUAUAUCACUUCUAUAUCCAUUCAUGUUCCAGUUUCCUCAUUUUCUCUUGACAAUCAAUUACUGAAAUCUCUUCAAAUUGUCUUCAAUAGCCAAGGAAGUUAAUUGGAUGCUUUAACCAAGUAGAAUAGAUACCUUCCUGUUAUGCAUUCUCUGUAUUGUGUAUCCUUUAUUGGUUAGUGAUAUUUAUAUCUGGAGAUUUUUAAUAAAGUUUGCUUUUGCACUCA